Molecule: ribosomal RNA, 907 nt
Filed under: Triticum aestivum (bread wheat)
Lineage: Eukaryota; Viridiplantae; Streptophyta; Magnoliopsida; Poales; Poaceae
Description: partial small subunit ribosomal RNA
Source: RNAcentral
AAAAGAGAGCAGGAAGCGAGGAGGAACUUUACAAGAGAGGGCAUCGAAUCCGCCUCCUUCUUCCUCGCGCGGUCGUCUCCGAGGCCUCCGACAUGGCGAACGCGGCAUCGGGCAUGGCUGUGGACGACGAAUGCAAGCUCAAGUUCCUGGAGCUGAAGGCGAAGCGAACCCACCGCUUCAUCAUCUACAAGAUAGACGACAAGAAGAAGAUGGUUGUUGUGGAGAAAGUCGGUGAGCCUGCCCUGAACUAUGAGGACUUUGCUGCCAGCCUCCCCACCAAUGAAUGCAGAUACGCGAUAUUCGACUAUGACUUUGUCACCGAGGAGAACUGCCAAAAGAGCAAGAUAUUCUUCGUCGCAUGGUCUCCUGACACCGCACGCGUGAGGAGCAAGAUGAUCUACGCAAGCUCCAAGGAGAGGUUCAAGAGGGAGCUCGACGGCAUCCAGGUGGAGCUGCAGGCGACAGACCCGACCGAGGUCGGCUUCGAUGUCAUCCAAGGCCGUGCCAACUGAGCACCAUGGCUGUGCUGCUGCUUACCUUAAGUAUGAGCCUCUGAUGAGGAUUUAGCGUGCUCGCCGAGGCUGGUCAUGAGCUGUUUACCAUGAGGCAAUUGUGAUUUGAGUUGCCAGUAUGUACCACCUAAGGAAGAUGUAAGCUAUGACUGGCGCGACGACAAAUGUAUCCUUUCUGGUUGUUGAUUCGUGGAUCCUGAUAUCCCCUUCUUGCCUGCUAAAGAUCAGUUGCAUCUUGAUGGUAACAAUUUUGGUAGAUUCUAUCUUGUGAGCUUUCAUACUAGGAUCACUGGUUCUUGAAACAAAUGAUGCCAUGAUGUCCACUGAGGCUUAUUAUGCAACACAUUUUGAUGAUAAAACCAAUUCAGAAAUUUGUAUUAGCAUGCCUCAUCCUC